This 506-nucleotide ribosomal RNA is filed under the name uncultured bacterium. RNAcentral's name for it is "bacterial SSU rRNA". It matches the Rfam family "Bacterial small subunit ribosomal RNA", at positions 19 to 518 of the family's 1533-position model. The record is from RNAcentral.
CUGGCUCAGGAUGAACGCUAGCGACAGGCUAACACAUGCAAGUCGAGGGGCAGACAUAAAAGUAGCAAGUACUUGGUGGCGACCGGCGCACGGGUGAGUAACGCGUAUGCAACCUACCUAUCAGAGGGGAAUAACCCGGCGAAAGUCAGACUAAUACCGCAUAAAACAGGGGCACCGCAUGGUGAUAUUUGUUAAAGAAAUUCGCUGAUAGAUGGGCAUGCGUUCCAUUAGGUAGUUGGUGAGGUAACGGCUCACCAAGCCGACGAUGGAUAGGGAACUGAGAGGUUGGUCCCCCACACUGGUACUGAGACACGGACCAGACUCCUACGGGAGGCAGCAGUGAGGAAUAUUGGUCAAUGGGCGGGAGCCUGAACCAGCCAAGUCGCGUGAAGGAAGAAGGAUCUAUGGUUCGUAAACUUCUUUUGCAGGGGAAUAAAGUGCAGGACGUGUCCUGUUUUGUAUGUACCCUGAGAAUAAGGAUCGGCUAACUCCGUGCCAGCAGCCGC